Molecule: long non-coding RNA, 1469 nt
Filed under: Piliocolobus tephrosceles (Ugandan red Colobus)
Lineage: Eukaryota; Metazoa; Chordata; Mammalia; Primates; Cercopithecidae
Description: lncRNA (ENSPTEG00000002974.1)
Source: RNAcentral
UGCAGAAGAAGCUUUUAAAAAAGUUUCAAAAGCAUUCCAACACUUAAUAGAUAAAGAUAAAAGAUAUGAAUAUGAUAACUAUUCUGAUUUAAAUACGCAUAAUAAUAUUAGUAAUAAUGCUUCUCGUGCUUUUAGAACUACUCAUUAUUAUUAUAAUGAUGAUGCAUUCACUGCAGAAGAUAUUUUUCGUAAUUUUUUUGGUAUCAAUUUUGCUACAUGUAAUAAUAGGGCAUAUAGAACUCAUGUUAAUACUAAUAGGACUCAUACAAAUAAUAGCACAAGUGCUAAUACGAGUAAUAAUAAUCAGCGCAACUAUUCAUUGAUACAAUUGUUUUUGUUUUUAAUUAUGUUUAUAGUAUUCUUUUUAUCAAGUCAUUUUGAGCAACCCAAGGUAAAAAUAAAAUAAGCAAUACAAUACAAUACAAUACAGCAUAAAAACAUAUAUACAUUAACAUGUGUAGUUAUGCAAGUUCAAAAGUAUGUGAUCCUAAUUGUGUAUAGCUUAAGCAUUUUUUUUUUUUUUUUUUUUUUUUAUUUAUAUAAAAUAUAUGCUUCAAAAAAAAUAAAAAAAUAAUAUAAGAUGUAACAUAUCCAUCAAACUGACCCAACAAAUUAGGAAUAUGACUUAUUGUUUUAUUUAUUAUUUUUUUUUAUAUACAUAUUUUUUUCUUUUUUCUUUUUUAAUAGGCCAUAUACUCUUUGCAGAAAACAAAUUAUUAUGAUACAUUAAAUUAUACCUCAUUAAACAAAAUAAGAUUUUACACAAAGAGAUCUUUUAAUUAUAAUUAUCCCAAAAACACUCAAAUGCGUUAUCAAAUUGAGUACGAAGUAGAAUACAAAUACUAUGAACAUGAGUGUCAUGUUCUAACCAAGAAAUUAAAAAAUGACUAUUACAAAGAAAAACGUGAAUAUCGUAAGUUACUUUUCUUUUUUUUUUUUUUUUUUUUUAAAUAUAUACAUUUUAGACAUAUAACAUAUGUCCACAUAUACACUUUAUACGUCCUUCUGUUAUUUUGUGCCUCUAUUUUUAACUAAUGCGUUUUGUUAGUGUAUAUAUAUGAAUUUAUAAACAAUUUUUUUUUUUUUUUUUUUUAGAACAAAAAUUAAAUUAUCAAGAAAUUCCAGAAAGCUGCAUAAAACUGAAAAAUUUAGAGGUAAAUUUUUGCAUCUCAAAAUGUUGACCAGUUAAUUUAUUUUAUUUCAUCAUAUUCAUAAAGUGCAGUAUAUUUAUUAAAUUCUUAUGAGUUUUUGCAUAAUACUUAUAUAUAUAUCGAUAUGUGUAAUUUUUUUAAUAUACUUCCAGUUUAUACCUAUCAAUAUAAACACCUAUUUUUACACUUUUUAGGAUCAAUACAACGACUACAUUAUGAAAAUGAAAAGAAGAUAACAAAAAAAAAAAAAAAAAAAUGCAUUCAUUUGAUAAAUUAAUUUUUAAAAAUUAAAAUAAACUGUUUGAAAAAAAAUGUACA